GUUUUAUCAUUUUAUCUUCCCUAAAAUGUUGGCAUCUAGCAGGAUCUAGCAUGGGAAAAGUGAAAUUGAAAACUCAGUAAGGAUUAAUAUAUAGCUUGGCGAGGCUGAAAGAUUAGCUUACUAAAACAGUGUUUGAGACAAGCUGAAGACUUUAUAGAUUCUAGACUUCUAAAACAAUCACACCACCAUUAUCUUAUCUCAUACAUUCAAUGAC
Molecule: long non-coding RNA, 214 nt
Organism: Pantherophis guttatus
Lineage: Eukaryota; Metazoa; Chordata; Lepidosauria; Squamata; Colubridae
Source: RefSeq, a predicted model, not a curated record